AUUGAACGCUGGCGGCAGGCCUAACACAUGCAAGUCGGACGGUAGCACAGAGAGCUUGCUCUUGGGUGACGAGUGGCGGACGGGUGAGUAAUGUCUGGGGAUCUGCCCGAUAGAGGGGGAUAACCACUGGAAACGGUGGCUAAUACCGCAUAACGUCGCAAGACCAAAGAGGGGGACCUUCGGGCCUCUCACUAUCGGAUGAACCCAGAUGGGAUUAGCUAGUAGGCGGGGUAAUGGCCCACCUAGGCGACGAUCCCUAGCUGGUCUGAGAGGAUGACCAGCCACACUGGAACUGGGACACGGUCCAGACUCCUACGGGAGGCAGCAGUGGGGAAUAUUGCACAAUGGGCGCAAGCCUGAUGCAGCCAUGCCGCGUGUAUGAAGAAGGCCUUCGGGUUGUAAAGUACUUUCAGCGGGGAGGAAGGCGGUGAGGUUAAUAACCUUGCCGAUUGACGUUACCCGCAGAAGAAGCACCGGCUAACUCCGUGCCAGCAGCCGCCGCGG
This 504-nucleotide ribosomal RNA is filed under the name uncultured bacterium. Its description in RNAcentral is "partial 16S ribosomal RNA". It matches the Rfam family "Bacterial small subunit ribosomal RNA", at positions 29 to 523 of the family's 1533-position model. The record is from RNAcentral.